This 1300-nucleotide ribosomal RNA is filed under the name Mirhipipteryx andensis. Its description in RNAcentral is "16S ribosomal RNA". The stretch from base 857 to 1226 matches the Rfam family "Archaeal large subunit ribosomal RNA", at positions 2150 to 2716 of the family's 2987-position model. The record is from RNAcentral. Lineage: Eukaryota; Metazoa; Arthropoda; Insecta; Orthoptera; Ripipterygidae.
AGGAUGUUUCUUAUAUGUAAGUAAGUUACUAGAUUGUUAAUAAAAGUGAUUUUAAGUAAGUGAUUUUAGUAUAUAAUUAGAAUAAAUAGACUUGAUUAUAGAGUAUAGUACUGUAAAGGAAUGAUUAAGGAAAAGUGAUUUAUAGGAAAGAAUAAGUUAAGUUAGUACCUUUUGUAUCAGGGUUUAUUAAGAUUUAACCUUUAAUUAGUGUAUCCCGAAUUUAAUAGGGUUAUUCUUUUAUAAUAGUUGAUGUUGAAUAAUCAUUAUUAAUAUAAGAAUAGUAAUGAAAUGUUAAUCGAUUUUAAAGAUAUCUGGUUUCUUAAGAGCUUAAUUUAAUUAAGGUUAUAUUUAAGUUAAAAUAGCAUUGAAUUUAUUAUAAUAAAUAUAAACAAAGAUUGUAAGGGAUAAGCUUUUCAAUCAUCAAUAUAAGGGAAAUUUCAUUAAUUUUAUAAGCUUAAAAUUAGCUAUUAAUAGGAGUGUGUAAAGAUAAAUUAGUGUGUGUAGACAAUUUUCUUAGAGUUUGAUUACUUAUUGAGACUAUUACUUUAAUUAUGAAGUAAUGAGAUAAUGAUAAAAUUAGUAUAAGGUUAUUUAAAGUGUUUUAUUUAGUAAAAUAGUGAUUAAAGAAUUAGGCAAAUUUUACCUUCACCUGUUUAACAAAAACAUGGCCUUUUGAAUGAAUAGAAGGUCCAACCUGCUCACUGAUAGUUUAAAGAGCCGCGGUAUUUUGACCGUGCAAAGGUAGCAUAAUCAUUAGUCUUUUAAUUGGGGAAUAGUAUGAAAGGUUAGAUGAGGGGUAGACUGUUUCAAUCAUUAUAAUAGAAUUUUAUCUUUAAGUGAAAAAGCUUAAAUGUUAUUUUAGGACGAGAAGACCCUAUAGAGUUUUAUGUUUGUUAAUUUAUUAUAAUUUUAAGUUAAAUAUAAAUAGAUAAAUUAUAUAACAAUUCAUUGGGGUGAUGGUAAAGAUAGAUAAACCUUUAAUUUUAAAUUACAUAAGUUAAUGAAUAUUAUAUUGAUCCAUGUUUAAUGAGUAUAAGAAAGAAUUACCUUAGGGAUAACAGCGUAAUCAUUUUUGAGAGUUCAAAUCAACAAAAUGGGUUGCGACCUCGAUGUUGGAUUAAGAUAAGGCUAAGGAGCAGGAGUUUUAGCUUUAGGUCUGUUCGACCUUGAUAUCUUACAUGAUCUGAGUUCAGACCGGCGUGAGCCAGGUCGGUUUCUAUCCAAAAUUCUUUAAUUUAGUUUAGUACGAAAGGACCAAUUAAGUAAGUUAAACUUUUUUUUAAAGGAUAAUUUUAAUACA